Molecule: ribosomal RNA, 1306 nt
Filed under: uncultured bacterium
Lineage: Bacteria
Description: bacterial SSU rRNA
Rfam family: Bacterial small subunit ribosomal RNA
Source: RNAcentral
AACGUACGCUGGCGGCACGCCUAACACAUGCAAGUCGAACGAAGUAGCAAUACUUAGUGGCAGACGGGUGAGUAACAUGUGGGUAUCUGCCCUUUGGCCUGGAAUAACACGAGGAAACUUGUGCUAAUACCGGAUAAGUCUUUACGGAGAAAGCUUUAUGCACCAUUGGAUGAGCCCGCACUUGAUUAGUUUGUUGGUGGGGUAAUGGCCUACCAAGACUGUGAUCAAUAGCUGAUUUGAGAGGAUGAUCAGCCACAUUGGGACUGAGACACGGCCCAAACUCCUACGGGAGGCAGCAGUGGGGAAUCUUGCACAAUGGAGGAAACUCUGAUGCAGCGAUGCCGCGUGAGUGAAGAAGGCCCUUGGGUUGUAAAGCUCUUUCGUCGGGGAAGAAAAUGACUGUACCCGAAUAAGAAGGUCCGGCUAACUUCGUGCCAGCAGCCGCGGUAAUACGAAGGGACCUAGCGUAGUUCGGAAUUACUGGGCUUAAAGAGUUCGUAGGUGGUUGAAAAAGUUAGUGGUGAAAUCCCAGAGCUUAACUCUGGAACUGCCAUUAAAACUUUUCAGCUAGAGUAUGAUAGAGGAAAGCAGAAUUUCUAGUGUAGAGGUGAAAUUCGUAGAUAUUAGAAAGAAUACCAAUUGCGAAGGCAGCUUUCUGGAUCAUUACUGACACUGAGGAACGAAAGCAUGGGUAGCGAAGAGGAUUAGAUACCCUCGUAGUCCAUGCCGUAAACGAUGUGUGUUAGACGUUGGAAAUUUAUUUUCAGUGUCGCAGCGAAAGCGAUAAACACACCGCCUGGGGAGUACGACCGCAAGGUUAAAACUCAAAUGAAUUGACGGGGACCCGCACAAGUAGUGGAGCAUGUGGUUUAAUUCGAAGAUACGCGCAGAACCUUACCAACACUUGACAUGUUCGUCGCGACUCUAAGAGAUUAGAGUUUUCGGUUCGGCCGGACGAAACACAGGUGCUGCAUGGCUGUCGUCAGCUCGUGUCGUGAGAUGUUGGGUUAAGUCCCGCAACGAGCGCAACCCUCACUUUUAGUUGCCAUCAUUAAGUUGGGCACUCUGAAAGAACUGCCAGUGAUAAGCUGGAGGAAGGUGGGGAUGACGUCAAGUCCUCAUGGCCCUUACGUGUUGGGCUACACACGUGCUACAAUGGUAUCUACAACAGGAAGCAAGACUGCGAGGUCAAGCAAAUCCUUAAAAGAUACCUCAGUUCGGAUUGCACUCUGCAACUCGAGUGCAUGAAGCUGGAAUUGCUAGUAAUCGUGGAUCAGCGUGCCACGGUGAAUGCGUUCCCGGGUCU